RNAcentral lists this ribosomal RNA (467 nucleotides) under uncultured bacterium. Its description in RNAcentral is "partial 16S ribosomal RNA". It matches the Rfam family "Bacterial small subunit ribosomal RNA", at positions 28 to 507 of the family's 1533-position model. The record is from RNAcentral.
GAUGAACGCUGGCGGCGUGCUUAACACAUGCAAGUCGAACGGAAAGGCCCAAGCUUGCUUGGGUACUCGAGUGGCGAACGGGUGAGUAACACGUGGGUGAUCUGCCCUGCACUUCGGGAUAAGCCUGGGAAACUGGGUCUAAUACCGGAUAGGACGAUGGUUUGGAUGCCAUUGUGGAAAGUUGUUUCGGUGUGGGAUGAGCUCGCGGCCUAUCAGCUUGUUGGUGGGGUAAUGGCCUACCAAGGCGUCGACGGGUAGCCGGCCUGAGAGGGUGUACGGCCACAUUGGGACUGAGAUACGGCCCAGACUCCUACGGGAGGCAGCAGUGGGGAAUAUUGCACAAUGGGCGCAAGCCUGAUGCAGCGACGCCGCGUGGGGGAUGACGGCCUUCGGGUUGUAAACUCCUUUCGCUAGGGACGAAGCGUUUUGUGACGGUACCUGGAGAAGAAGCACCGGCUAACUACGUG